UACGUAGGGUGCGAGCGUUGUCCGGAAUUAUUGGGCGUAAAGGGCUCGUAGGCGGUUUGUCGCGUCAGGAGUGAAAACUCGGGGCUUAACCCCGAGCCUGCUUCUGAUACGGGCAGACUAGAGGUAUGCAGGGGGAGAACGGAAUUCCUGGUGUAGCGGUGAAAUGCGCAGAUAUCAGGAGGAACACCGGUGGCGAAGGCGGUUCUCUGGGCCUUACCUGACACUGAGGAGCGAAAGCGUGGGGAGCGAACAGG
Molecule: ribosomal RNA, 254 nt
Filed under: uncultured bacterium
Lineage: Bacteria
Description: partial 16S ribosomal RNA
Rfam family: Bacterial small subunit ribosomal RNA
Source: RNAcentral